Oncorhynchus mykiss (rainbow trout) is the source of this 1206-nucleotide long non-coding RNA. RefSeq lists it as uncharacterized. The record is from RefSeq and is a predicted model, not a curated record. Lineage: Eukaryota; Metazoa; Chordata; Actinopteri; Salmoniformes; Salmonidae.
GACCCUUACAGACGCAGAUGCCGGACCCGAAGACGUUCAAGCAGCACUUUGAGAGCAAGCAUCCCAAAUCCCCAAUGCCCCCAGAGCUGGAUGAUGUUGAGGCUUAAAAGACCAACACACACAAUGGACCUACAGCUGGACACACGAUGACCACGAUUAGAGCGCUGCAACUGGAACUUAAUGGCGUCAAGAGACAAAAUACUGAGACCCCUGGACAUGGGUGGGGGAUAUUUGUAACAAUGACAUAAAAAGGGGGGCAGAAGCACACCAGCACCCCAUAUUAUAUGUCCAACCAUCCCUGAACUUCAGACUCUUUUGAAGCGCCCAUCUUAAUUAUAUGAGCCCACUCUACCUACAUCCCUUUUCCCCAUGGUGCUUCCUUCAUUAAUACCUGAUUCAGUAACAUCUAGACUCUUACACGUCUAAAAGUAUCAGGGUGUUACUGUUUUUGCAACUUUUUCUCAGUUGUGUACCGCUGUCUUACUUUAACCACCAACUCUUUUCUAUACCUCCUCCCAUACACUCUUGUGCAAAUCAUUUCUGCUUUCUUUGAGAAUGGUGUCAUAGUGGAAAGGAUUUGUUAUUUGCCUAAGACUGAGUCUUGUUCUGCCUGUAAAAGGCCCUGGUUGAAAUAGUGCCAAAAUCACUGUUGAUAGUCACCUGGUCCACGUUGUAACAGUUGUAUUUUGCAUUUGACCAUUUCCAAGAAAUGUAGCAAUAUAUAUGAAAUCAUUCCUCUGCCUAUUUGAUCCAUUCUGAAGGAAAGCAGUGCAUAUGUUUUGUGUGUGAGAGAGAAUAUGUAUGCCUUGUAAAUCUAGCAGAAAAUGUGUUGCUUCCAAAUGCAAGUUAAACGCCAUUCCGUCUAUACUGAUACCAGACAAAUGCAUACUUACAAGUAUUUUCAAAUGUAUUUCCAAUAUACUGGAAUGCUAUGUAGCUGGAGAGGGGUUGGAGUUUCUGGAGGUCUGUGUUCACUGGCAAUUCCUCUCACUUCUGCAUCAAAUCAACCUCUACAAUAUAUAUUUUACUUAUUUUAUUACAAAUAUAGCAGUACACAGUCCUCCAUAAAUAUAUUGACAAUGACACAUUCCUGUGUAUUAGAUCCUCUGUACAUAGAAAAUCUGCAAACAAAUAGGAAUGACAUUUGCCAUUGCUACUAACUUGUACUUGUUCAAAGUAUAAUUAAAGAAAUGUAAAAAAAAAAAU